RNAcentral lists this ribosomal RNA (669 nucleotides) under Sicyonis kuznetsovi. RNAcentral describes it as "Sicyonis sp. k ESB-2021 partial small subunit ribosomal RNA". It matches the Rfam family "Bacterial small subunit ribosomal RNA", at positions 468 to 1365 of the family's 1533-position model. The record is from RNAcentral. Lineage: Eukaryota; Metazoa; Cnidaria; Anthozoa; Actiniaria; Actinostolidae.
ACAGAGAGGACAUUUAAUUGAGCCCGUCAAAUUAAGUGCCAGCCGACGCGGUUAGACUUAAGGGCUGGUCUUUAUAAAUAAAAAGGCGUAAAGGAUGUGUAGGCCAAGAAAUUAUCCAAGAAGGUAAAUGGAAUUUUUCUGGAGCGGUAGAAUGUGAGGAUAGAAAAUAGAACUCCCAAGGUUAAAACUAUUUACCACAAGAUAAGCUGAAACAUGAAAGUGUGGGGAGCAAACAGGAUUAGAGACCCUGGUAGUCCACUCUGUGAACUUUGAAGAUGAUGCUUAGCAGACCCGAAAGGUAAAAUCUUCCGCCUGAGUAGUACGAUCGCAAGAUUAAAAUUCAAAAACUUUGGCUGUUCACUAUUUCGAUUAGAGGAGCGUGUAAUUUAAUUCGAUGGUCCGCGCGUUACCUUACCCUAGCUUGAAUCUGUGACCGGUAUUGCAUGGCCGUCGUAAGUCCGUGUGUUAAAUUAGAAGGGACACAACCCGGGCUCCCGCCCGGAGGAAGUCAGGUCUUAUGAUCCGAAUGCUGGGGGAUUUUAUGCGCUACAUUUUCUUAUAUAAUGAGAGACUUGAAGGGUAAGCCUCUAAAGUAAGAGUUCAGAAGGUCGCUGUAAAACGACUGGAAGUCGGAUUUAAUAGUAAUCGGAAAGUAGAGCGUUCCGGUGA